Molecule: ribosomal RNA, 327 nt
Filed under: uncultured bacterium
Lineage: Bacteria
Description: bacterial SSU rRNA
Rfam family: Bacterial small subunit ribosomal RNA
Source: RNAcentral
GACGAACGCUGGCGGCGUGCUUAACACAUGCAAGUCAAGGACCGUAGCAAUACGGGACUGGCGCACGGGUGCGGAACACGUAGGCAAUCUGCCCUUCAGGGGAGAACAACCAGCCGAAAGGUUGGCUAAAUCUCCGUAAAAUCAUAGAGUGGCAUCACUUAUUGAUCAAGUUUUCUGAAGGAUGAGCCUGCGUCUGAUUAGCUAGUUGGCGGGGUAACGCCCACCAAGGCUACGAUCAGUAGCUGGUCUGAGAGGAUGAUCAGCCACAUUGGGACUGAGAUACGGCCCAGACUCCUACGGGAGGCAGCAGUGAGGAAUAUUGCUCAA